This 454-nucleotide ribosomal RNA is filed under the name uncultured bacterium. RNAcentral describes it as "partial 16S ribosomal RNA". It matches the Rfam family "Bacterial small subunit ribosomal RNA", at positions 28 to 507 of the family's 1533-position model. The record is from RNAcentral.
GAUGAACGCUGACAGAAUGCUUAACACAUGCAAGUCUACUUGAACUUCGGUUUGGGUGGCGGACGGGUGAGUAACGCGUAAAGAACUUGCCUCACAGUUAGGGACAACAUUUGGAAACGAAUGCUAAUACCUGAUAUUAUGAUUUUAGGGCAUCCUAAAAUUAUGAAAGCUAUAUGCGCUGUGAGAGAGCUUUGCGUCCCAUUAGCCAGUUGGAGAGGUAACGGCUCACCAAGGCGAUGAUGGGUAGCCGGCCUGAGAGGGUGAACGGCCACAAGGGGACUGAGACACGGCCCUUACUCCUACGGGAGGCAGCAGUGGGGAAUAUUGGACAAUGGACCAAAAGUCUGAUCCAGCAAUUCUGUGUGCACGAUGACGUUUUUCGGAAUGUAAAGUGCUUUCAGUUGGGAAGAAAAAAAUGACGGUACCAACAGAAGAAGUGACGGCUAAAUACGUG